Molecule: ribosomal RNA, 497 nt
Filed under: uncultured bacterium
Lineage: Bacteria
Description: partial 16S ribosomal RNA
Rfam family: Bacterial small subunit ribosomal RNA
Source: RNAcentral
GACGAACGCUGGCGGCGUGCCUAAUACAUGCAAGUUGAGCGCUGAAGGUUGGUACUUGUACCAACUGGAUGAGCAGCGAACGGGUGAGUAACGCGUGGGGAAUCUGCCUUUGAGCGGGGGACAACAUUUGGAAACGAAUGCUAAUACCGCAUAAAAACUUUAAACACAAGUUUUAAGUUUGAAAGAUGCAAUUGCAUCACUCAAAGAUGAUCCCGCGUUGUAUUAGCUAGUUGGUGAGGUAAAGGCUCACCAAGGCGAUGAUACAUAGCCGACCUGAGAGGGUGAUCGGCCGCAUUGGGACUGGGACACGCCCCAAACUCCUACGGGAGGCAGCAGUAGGGAAUCUUCGGCGAUGGACGAAAGUCUGACCGAGAAACGCCGCGUGAGGGAAGAAGGUUUUCGGAUCGUAAAACUCUGUUGGUAGAGAAGAACGUUGGUGAGAGUGGAAAGCUCAUCAAGUGACGGUAACUACCCAGAAAGGGACGGCUAACUACGUG